CAGUAGCCGCGGUAAUACGGAGGGAGCUAGCGUUGUUCGGAAUUACUGGGCGUAAAGCGUGCGUAGGUGGUGGUUUAAGUCCGUUGUGAAAGCCCUGGGCUCAACCUGGGAAUUGCAGUGGAUACUGGGUCACUAGAGUGUGGUAGAGGAUAGUGGAAUUUCCGGUGUAGCAGUGAAAUGCGUAGAGAUCGGAAGGAACAUCUGUGGCGAAGGCGACUAUCUGGGCCAACACUGACACUGAGGCACGAAAGCGUGGGGAGCAAACAGGAUUAGAUACCCCCGUAGUCCCUGUCUCUUAUAC
RNAcentral lists this ribosomal RNA (301 nucleotides) under uncultured bacterium. RNAcentral's name for it is "partial 16S ribosomal RNA". It matches the Rfam family "Bacterial small subunit ribosomal RNA", at positions 509 to 807 of the family's 1533-position model. The record is from RNAcentral.